CCGUCUCGCGCAUGCGCGUGUGCCGACCUUAAUAGCGGCGUCGGCUGUCACCGCAGCUACUUGGGCGCUCGGCUCCAGCGGGGCCGGCAGCGCGUCUCUUAGGCUGUUCGCGCGCUAGUCGCCGCUGAGGGGCUGGCGAUGCGCGAGGGGCUCCAGCUAGGAAGGUAGGCUUGAACCUUCACCUGGAGUCAUUCCCGUUAAGAUUUACCAGAAAAUGCCCAACAACAGGAAGCUUGCAGGACUACACUUUGCUCCCAAUGUUAAGGAAUGAAAACAGGAAAUGUUCUGUUAUCUGCCUGGCAGUGGAGCUUUGGAGUUAAUCUCCUGGCCAUGUCACUUACCAGCUUGGCAGCCUUGGACAGACUGAACUCUUUGAGCUCAGUUUCCUCAUCUGUAAAGCCAGGGUAUGUUAUGUACCUUUAUUCGGUGGUAGAGAUUCAAUGUGAACACUUAGGUAAAGCACACAGUAUGGGCUGAAUAAAUGGACUGUUACUGAGAUGCUAUCACUUGUUUUUAAGUUCCUUGGAGCUUUCUCCCCCUAAACACCUCAAAAGAUUUUCAUUAUUUUUUCUAAUGCUAAUAUUUUUCUAAUUCUUCCUUUAAAAUAUUUUACU
Molecule: long non-coding RNA, 614 nt
Organism: Cebus imitator (Panamanian white-faced capuchin)
Lineage: Eukaryota; Metazoa; Chordata; Mammalia; Primates; Cebidae
Exons: 2
Source: RefSeq, a predicted model, not a curated record